Molecule: ribosomal RNA, 149 nt
Filed under: Escherichia coli N36254PS
Lineage: Bacteria; Pseudomonadati; Pseudomonadota; Gammaproteobacteria; Enterobacterales; Enterobacteriaceae
Description: partial 23S ribosomal RNA
Rfam family: Bacterial large subunit ribosomal RNA (bases 1-131)
Source: RNAcentral
CGAGAUGAGUUCUCCCUGAGACUUUAAGUCUCCUGAAGGAACGUUGAAGACGACGACGUUGAUAGGCCGGGUGUGUAAGCGCAGCGAUGCGUUGAGCUAACCGGUACUAAUGAACCGUGAGGCUUAACCUUACAACGCCGAAGGUGUUU